Molecule: ribosomal RNA, 502 nt
Filed under: uncultured bacterium
Lineage: Bacteria
Description: partial 16S ribosomal RNA
Rfam family: Bacterial small subunit ribosomal RNA
Source: RNAcentral
GACGAACGCUGGCGGCGUGCCUAAUACAUGCAAGUCGAACGAACCGCGACUAAGUGCUUGCACCAAGUCAAGGCGAGUGGCGAACGGGUGAGUAACACGUGGGUAACCUACCUCAUAGUGGGGGAUAACAGUCGGAAACGACUGUUCAUACCGCAUAGGACAUAGGAUCACAUGAUCCAGGGAGGAAAGGUGGCGCAAGCUAUCGCUAAGAGAUGGACCCGCGGUGCAUUAGCUAGUUGGUAGGGUAAAGGCCUACCAAGGCGACGAUGCAUAGCCGACCUGAGAGGGUGAUCGGCCACACUGGGACUGAGACACGGCCCAAACUCCUACGGGAGGCAGCAGUAGGGAAUCUUCCGCAAUGGACGCAAGUCUGACGGAGCAACGCCGCGUGAGUGAAGAAGGUCUUCGGAUCGUAAAGCUCUGUUAUUAGAGAAGAACAACGCAUAGAGUAACUGCUAUGCGUGUGACGGUAUCUAACCAGAAAGCCACGGCUAACUACGUG